This 568-nucleotide ribosomal RNA is filed under the name Cystodermella granulosa. RNAcentral's name for it is "small subunit ribosomal RNA". It matches the Rfam family "Bacterial small subunit ribosomal RNA", at positions 423 to 884 of the family's 1533-position model. Lineage: Eukaryota; Fungi; Basidiomycota; Agaricomycetes; Agaricales; Squamanitaceae. The record is from RNAcentral.
UGGUAGAGUGAUAACGUAAGGGAAAAAAUUGAUGUUACCUUACUAUUAGUGUUGUCCAAAUUACUGGUGCCAGAAGACUCGGUAACGCCAGAAACGCAAACGUUAGUCGUCUUAAACAGGCGUAGAGGGUGUGUAGGCUGCUUUUAAUAGAAAUUUUUUUAAAGCUAUGGGUGUAUAAACAAAUUUUAUUGGCUUUGUGCCUUAUAAAAAUAUUAAAACAUCUACCUYCGGGCAACUAAACGAAAUUAUUUAAUAUAUUUUUCAUUAAAUUAAUUUAAAUAAAUAUUUUAUAGUUAGACACAAAAAUUUUUAUAAAUAAAAGCUAGAAUCAGGAUGAGGAUAUUGCGAAUAAUGCUUUGAGUAGGGAUGAUAUCCUUAGAUACAUUGUAGAAUACUCACGGUGAAAACUUUCUGUCCAGUAAUGAUUGACGCUGAGAAACUAAGGUUUGGAGAGGAAAUAGGAUUAGAUACCCAGAUACCCCUUACUGUCAACGAUGAAUGGUAGUUGUUAAAUUGAUAUAAUUUAGUAAUGAGGCUAACGCGUUAACCAUUCCNCCUUGCAAGUACG